Molecule: transfer RNA, 53 nt
Filed under: Polyergus rufescens
Lineage: Eukaryota; Metazoa; Arthropoda; Insecta; Hymenoptera; Formicidae
Description: partial tRNA-Ser
Source: RNAcentral
AGUUAAUGAUCUUGAAAUUAAGUAUAUGUUUUGAAAACAUAAGAAAGAAAAUA